CCCGUCAUCGUACAGCCGGUUAACUAGGGGCUGAGCAUCAAUCAUCAACGUCUCCAGGUCUUUGUAGACUCGGAUGACCCUCCCCGGGAUGGCUGUUCUCACAUUGUUCAGUUGUUGCUCGAUCAGCGUGUUCACCACGCUGCUGAAACUUAGUUCAAUCAUCUGAGGUCUUCCUCGAUAAUGAUGCCACAGAAGCAAUCAACGUACCAUUCCUGGUCAUCGUAGCCCCCGUAGUACCUGGCUGAGUUGAUCCGAUACCAGCCUGUCACUUCUUUUGACUCGAUACGGACCACUUGCCCAGG
Molecule: non-coding RNA, 302 nt
Filed under: Pseudomonas phage PAK_P3
Lineage: Duplodnaviria; Heunggongvirae; Uroviricota; Caudoviricetes; Vandenendeviridae
Source: RNAcentral